GAUGAACGCUGGCGGCGUGCUUAACACAUGCAAGUCGAACGGAAAGGCUCCUGCUUGCAGGGGUACUCGAGUGGCGAACGGGUGAGUAACACGUGGGUGAUCUGCCCUGCACUUCGGGAUAAGCCUGGGAAACUGGGUCUAAUACCGGAUAGGACGAUGGUUUGGAUGCCAUUGUGGAAAGUUUUUCGGUGUGGGAUGAGCUCGCGGCCUAUCAGCUUGUUGGUUGGGUAAUGGCCUACCAAGGCGUCGACGGGUAGCCGGCCUGAGAGGGUGUACGGCCACAUUGGGCCUGAGAUACGGCCCAGACUCCUACGGGAGGCAGCAGUGGGGAAUAUUGCACAAUGGGCGCAAGCCUGAUGCAGCGAGGCCGCGUGGGGGAUGACGGCCUUCGGGUUGUAAACUCCUUUCGCUAGGGACGAAGCGCAAGUGACGGUACCUGGAGAAGAAGCACCGGCUAACUACGUG
RNAcentral lists this ribosomal RNA (465 nucleotides) under uncultured bacterium. RNAcentral's name for it is "partial 16S ribosomal RNA". It matches the Rfam family "Bacterial small subunit ribosomal RNA", at positions 28 to 507 of the family's 1533-position model. The record is from RNAcentral.